GAUGAACGCUGGCGGCGUGCUUAACACAUGCAAGUCGAACGGAAAGGCUCCUGCUUGCUGGGGUCCUCGAGUGGCGAACGGGUGAGUAACACGUGGGUGAUCUGCCCUGCACUUCGGGAGAAGCCCGGGAAACUGGGUUUAAUAUCGGAUAGGACGAUGGUUUGGAUGCCAUUGUGGAAAGUUUUUUGGUGUGGGAUGAGUUCGCGGCCUAUCAGCUUGUUGGUGGGGUAAUGGCCUACCAAGGCGUCGACGGGUAGCCGGCCUGUGAGGGUGUACGGCCCCAUUGGGCCUGAGAAACGGGCCAGAGUGCUACGGGAGGCAGCAGUGGGAGAUAUUGCGCGAUGGGCCGAAGCCUGAUGGAGCGACGCCGCGUGGUGGAUGACGGCCGUCGGGUUGUAAACUCCUUUCGCGAGGAAAGAAGCGCAAGUGACGGUACCUAGAGAAGAAGCACCGGCUAACUACGUG
Molecule: ribosomal RNA, 465 nt
Filed under: uncultured bacterium
Lineage: Bacteria
Description: partial 16S ribosomal RNA
Rfam family: Bacterial small subunit ribosomal RNA
Source: RNAcentral